Molecule: unclassified non-coding RNA, 179 nt
Filed under: uncultured Cortinarius
Lineage: Eukaryota; Fungi; Basidiomycota; Agaricomycetes; Agaricales; Cortinariaceae
Description: sequence contains ITS2
Source: RNAcentral
AUAUAUAUAUCAAACUUCUCUUUGUUGAGUGGUUUGGAUGUGGGGGUUUUGCUGGCUUUGUUCAGCUCCCCUGAAAUGCAUUAGCAGAACAAAACCUGUUCAUUGGUGUGAUAACUAUCUACGCUAUUGAACAUGAGGCAGUUCAGCUUCCUAACAGUCCUCGGACAGUUUACCAUUUU